RNAcentral lists this unclassified non-coding RNA (189 nucleotides) under soil metagenome. RNAcentral describes it as "partial internal transcribed spacer 1". The record is from RNAcentral.
CAGAGUUGCAAAACUCCCACAAACCAUCGCGAAUCUUACCCGUACGGUUGCCUCGGCGCUGGCGGUCCGGACAGGCCCUCGGGCCCCCCGGAUCCUCGGGUCUCCCGCUCGCGGGAGGCUGCCCGCCGGAGUGCCGAAACCAAACUCUUGAUAUUUUAUGUCUCUCUGAGUAAACUUUUAAAUAAGUCA